GAUGAACGCUGGCGGCGUGCCUAAUACAUGCAAGCCGAGCGAACGGACGAGAAGCUUGCUUCUCUGAUGUUAGCGGCGGACGGGUGAGUAACACGUGGAUAACCUACCUAUAAGACUGGGAUAACUUCGGGAAACCGGAGCUAAUACCGGAUAAUAUUUUGAACCGCAUGGUUCAAAAGUGAAAGACGGUCUUGCUGUCACUUAUAGAUGGAUCCGCGCUGCAUUAGCUAGUUGGUAAGGUAACGGCUUACCAAGGCAACGAUGCAUAGCCGACCGGAGAGGGUGAUCGGCCACACUAGAACUGAGACACGGUCCAGACUCCUACGGGAGGCAGCAGUAGGGAAUCUUCCGCAAUGGGCGAAAGCCUGACGGAGCAACGCCGCGUGAGUGAUGAAGGUCUUCGGAUCGUAAAACUCUGUUAUUAUGGAAGAACAUAUGUGUAAGUAACUGUGCACAUCUUGACGGUACCUAAUCAGAAAGCCACGGCUAACUACGUG
RNAcentral lists this ribosomal RNA (497 nucleotides) under uncultured bacterium. Its description in RNAcentral is "partial 16S ribosomal RNA". It matches the Rfam family "Bacterial small subunit ribosomal RNA", at positions 28 to 507 of the family's 1533-position model. The record is from RNAcentral.